GAUGAACGCUGGCGGCGUGCCUAAUACAUGCAAGUCGAGCGAACAGACGAGGAGCUUGCUCCUCUGACGUUAGCGGCGGACGGGUGAGUAACACGUGGAUAACCUACCUAUAAGACUGGGAUAACUUCGGGAAACCGGAGCUAAUACCGGAUAAUAUAUUGAACCGCAUGGUUCAAUAGUGAAAGACGGUUUUGCUGUCACUUAUAGAUGGAUCCGCGCCGCAUUAGCUAGUUGGUAAGGUAACGGCUUACCAAGGCAACGAUGCGUAGCCGACCUGAGAGGGGGAGCGGCCACCAGGGAACAGGACACCGCACCAGCCGCCAACGGGAGGAAGCAGAAGGGAAUCUGCGGAAAUGGGCAAAGGCCUGAAGGAGCACAGCGUCGGGAGUAAAGAAGUGUUUAGGUUCUAAAAACCGUUUUAUGGGGAAAGAACAAAUGUGAAAGGAAUUAGGCAGGUCUAGCCGUAACCUAAUAAGAAGGCCCGGGCAAACUCCGUG
This 497-nucleotide ribosomal RNA is filed under the name uncultured bacterium. RNAcentral describes it as "partial 16S ribosomal RNA". It matches the Rfam family "Bacterial small subunit ribosomal RNA", at positions 28 to 507 of the family's 1533-position model. The record is from RNAcentral.